GUGCUCGCUUCAGCAGCACACAUACUAAAAUUAGAAUGAUACAGAGAAGAUUAGCAUGGCCCCUGCACAUGGAUAACAUGCAAAUUCAUAAAGCAUUCCAUAUUUUU
This is a small nuclear RNA of Cricetulus griseus (Chinese hamster), 107 nucleotides long. The record is from Ensembl. Lineage: Eukaryota; Metazoa; Chordata; Mammalia; Rodentia; Cricetidae.